RNAcentral lists this ribosomal RNA (485 nucleotides) under uncultured bacterium. RNAcentral's name for it is "partial 16S ribosomal RNA". It matches the Rfam family "Bacterial small subunit ribosomal RNA", at positions 899 to 1397 of the family's 1533-position model. The record is from RNAcentral.
ACUCAAAGGAAUUGACGGGGACCCACACAAGCGGUGGAGCAUGGGGUUUAAUUCGAUAAUAAACGAAGCACCUCACCCAGACUUGACAUCUACGGAAUCCCGCAGAAACGUGGGAGUGCCGCAAGGAACCGUAAGACAGGCGAUGCACGGUCGUCGUCAGCUCGUGCCUUGAGGUGUACUGUUAAGUCAGCGAACGAGCGCAACCCUCAUCCUAUGUUGUUUUUUCAUGGGAGACUGCCGCCUCCAAGGCGGAGGAAGGUGGGGAUGACGUCAGAUCAGCGUGUCCUUUAUGUCUGGGGCAACACCCAUGCUACAAUGGCCGAUACAAUGGGCAGCAAAACCGCGAGGUUAAGCAAAUCCCACCAAAGUCGGUCUCAGUUCGGAUUGCAGGCUGCAACUCGCCUGCAUGAAGUUGGAAUCGCUAGUAACCGUGAAUCAGCGAUGUCACGGUGAAUAAGUUCCUGGGUCUUGCACACACCGCCCGU